UGUUUCCUACGGGGGGCAGCAGUGGGGAAUAUUGCACAAUGGGGGAAACCCUGAUGCAGCGACGCCGCGUGAGUGAAGAAGUAUUUCGGUAUGUAAAGCUCUAUCAACAGGGAAGAAAAUGACGGUACCUGACUAAGAAGCCCCGGCUAACUACGUGCCAGCAGCCGCGGUAAUACGUAGGGGGCAAGCGUUAUCCGGAUUUACUGGGUGUAAAGGGAGCGUAGACGGCAGAGCAAGUCUGAAGUGAAAGCCCGCGGCCCAACUGCGGGCCUGCUUUGGAAACUGCCCGGC
Molecule: ribosomal RNA, 291 nt
Filed under: uncultured bacterium
Lineage: Bacteria
Description: partial 16S ribosomal RNA
Rfam family: Bacterial small subunit ribosomal RNA
Source: RNAcentral